RNAcentral lists this unclassified non-coding RNA (293 nucleotides) under uncultured Sebacina. RNAcentral describes it as "sequence contains 5.8S rRNA gene". The record is from RNAcentral. Lineage: Eukaryota; Fungi; Basidiomycota; Agaricomycetes; Sebacinales; Sebacinaceae.
GAACGCACCUUGCACCCUUUGGCAUUCCGAAGGGUAUGCUCGUUUGAGUGUCAUUGUACUCUCACACUUCUGAUCGUUUGGAUUGGGAGCGGUGGAUUUGGGUGUUGCCGCUUUACUGAGGCUCACCUUGAAUGCAUUAGUGCAACUCUUGGUUGGACAUAGUAUGGCGUGAUAAGUCUUCGCCGGCACCUCACCAGAGGGUGGCUGAUCAGGAGCUCUGUGCUCCAAACUGUCCUUGGACAAUGACUGACAACUUGACCUCAAAUCGAGUAGGACUACCCGCUGAACUUAAG